UGGGGAAUUUUGGACAAUGGGCGAAAGCCUGAUCCAGCAAUGCCGCGUGUGUGAAGAAGGCCUUCGGGUUGUAAAGCACUUUUGUCCGGAAAGAAAUCCUUGGCUCUAAUACAGUCGGGGGAUGACGGUACCGGAAGAAUAAGCACCGGCUAACUACGUGCCAGCAGCCGCGGUAAUACGUAGGGUGCAAGCGUUAAUCGGAAUUACUGGGCGUAAAGCGUGCGCAGGCGGUUUGCUAAGACCGAUGUGAAAUCCCCGGGCUCAACCUGGGAACUGCAUUGGUGACUGGCAGGCUAGAGUAUGGCAGAGGGGGGUAGAGUUCCACGUGUAGCAGUGAAAUGCGUGGAGAUGUGGAGGAAUACCGAUGGCGAAGGCAGCCCCCUGGGCCAAUACUGACGCUCAUGCACGAAAGCGUGGGGAGCAAACAGGAUUAGAUACCCUGGUAGUCCACGCCCUAAACGAUGUCAACUAGUUGUUGGGGAUUCAUUUCCUUAGUAACGUAGCUAACGCGUGAAGUUGACCGCCUGGGGAGUACGGUCGCAAGAUUAAAACUUAAAUGAAUUGACGGGGUCAUAGCUGUUUCCU
RNAcentral lists this ribosomal RNA (585 nucleotides) under uncultured bacterium. Its description in RNAcentral is "partial 16S ribosomal RNA". It matches the Rfam family "Bacterial small subunit ribosomal RNA", at positions 355 to 1375 of the family's 1533-position model. The record is from RNAcentral.